RNAcentral lists this ribosomal RNA (727 nucleotides) under Palicella glaucopa. Its description in RNAcentral is "LSU rRNA". It matches the Rfam family "Eukaryotic large subunit ribosomal RNA", at positions 76 to 822 of the family's 3401-position model. The record is from RNAcentral. Lineage: Eukaryota; Fungi; Ascomycota; Lecanoromycetes; Lecanorales; Lecanoraceae.
UGCCUCAGUACGGCGAGUGAAGCGGCAACAGCUCAAAUUUGAAAUCUGGCCCCUUCGGGGUCCGAGUUGUAAUUUGUAGAGGAUGUUUCGGGUGCGGCGCCGAUCUAAGUCCCUUGGAACAGGGCGUCACAGAGGGUGAGAAUCCCGUACGUGAUUGGCGACCAAUCCCAUGUGAAACCCCUUCGACGAGUCGAGUUGUUUGGGAAUGCAGCUCAAAAUGGGUGGUAAAUUUCAUCUAAAGCUAAAUACCGGCCAGAGACCGAUAGCGCACAAGUAGAGUGAUCGAAAGAUGAAAAGCACUUUGGAAAGAGAGUCAAAAAGUACGUGAAAUUGUUGAAAGGGAAGCGCUUGCGACCAGACCUGUCCGCGGGCGAUCAACCUCCGUUCUCGGGGGUGCACUUGUUCGCGAUCAGGCCAGCAUCGGUUUGGGCGGCGGGAUAAAGGCCUUGGGAACGUAGCUUCCUUCGGGAAGUGUUAUAGCCCUCGGUGCAAUGCCGCCAGCCCGGACCGAGGACCGCGCUUCGGCUAGGAUGCUGGCGUAAUGGUCGUAAGCGACCCGUCUUGAAACACGGACCAAGGAGUCUAACAUCUAUGCGAGUGUUUGGGUGUCAAACCCAUACGCGUAAUGAAAGUGAACGGAGGUGAGAACCCUUAAGGGCGCAUCAUCGACCGAUCCAGAUGUCUUCGGAUGGAUUUGAGUACGAGCAUAGCUGUUGGGACCCGAAAG